UCUAUUUUUUUUUUUUUGAAAAAUGCUAAUCUUUUAACAAAAAACAAAUACGGUAGUCUUCCUUUUUGAACCCAGUACUCUUCCUUCAACGAUUCUUCUUCUUCACCGCAAACCCUUCUUCUUCCUUUGGCUGAGCACCCUCGCUCCAUCCCCUCUUCCAUCGAUUGAACCCAGAAACUCUUCCAUCGUCAAUUACCCUCUCUCACAAACCCUUCUUCUCUUCCACCGUCACUCACGAACUCGUUGAAACCCUAAAUCGCACAAACUCUCCAUCAAUUGAACUCAGAACAAGUUCAAACCCUAAACAAAAAUCGAUUGAUGUCAGAGUUCACCAUGAUCCAUCAUUCCCGAGCUCGUUGAACUGUUAAUAAACCCAUAAACUCUUCAUUGUUCACCAUCGUUCAUUGCAAUUGAAACUCCUUCUACUCGGACGCUCCAAAAGUUGAUUUUUCUUGUCUAACUCUGUAAGUUUAACAUUUCUCAUUUAAUUUUUAACUGCAAAAUUUCCCCUGCUAGUUGUGUCUACAUGGAUGGGUUUCUUAUCUACUUGGUACGUACUUUGAUGUUUGUGUUUGGUAUUUUUAUUUUUACUAGACCUUGGAUUCUAGAUUGCUACAGUGGUAAUUUGUGUUUCAAGCAUUGAUCAUCCCUUAAUUUGUUUCUGUAUUGAUAUAUAAACAUUACUAAGGUUCAUUGAUUGGAAGUGAAGAAUAUACUCUUGUUUAUGAGAAUAAUGAAAGAGACAAGAUGCUUGUAGGGGACCUGCCGUGGUGGACAUUUUCUCAUGGGGAAAACUUGCCAUUCUCAAGCAUGGUUUAUCUAUUUAUGGGUUCCAAAUGUCAUUGUUGCUAAGAAGUAAGAAAACAGAAAAUUCACCUCAAGCAUUAGUGAAAGAAGCAAUUGUUGAUGAGAGAUUUGAGAAAACUUGAUUUGGAUAUAGAGGAACAAUGUAAGGGAAUCAUCAUAUAGGUACCAUUACAAUAUUACUGAUAUGCAAUUGUCCCAACAGACUGCGAAGAUGGGAUAUUUAUCAGCAGUGUAGCUUGUUGUUCUACUAAAAUUUGGCCAAUGGAUUCAGUGGACAAGUUUAUGAACUCUCAUCCUUCUUUCUUGACAUGGGUGUGUUUUUUAUUUUGUUCAAGAUUUAGUAAUUGUAUUAUUUUCUUGGUUAUGUGUGUGUUUUAGAAUGGCAAUUAGUUAGUAGUUAGUUACUUACUCUCUAUAUAAGUGAUACUACCCCUUAGUUAGUUUGUAAAUUUGUUCUUGUAUAAUUUGAGUCAGGCAAAAUAACUUACUUUUGGAUA
This is a long non-coding RNA of Trifolium pratense (red clover), 1304 nucleotides long. RefSeq lists it as uncharacterized. NCBI's taxonomy places the organism in Eukaryota, Viridiplantae, Streptophyta, Magnoliopsida, Fabales, Fabaceae. The record is from RefSeq and is a predicted model, not a curated record. The transcript has 4 exons.